CAAGUCUUGACAUCCCUCUGAAUCCUCUAGAGAUAGAGGCGGCCUUCAGGACAGAGGUGACAGGUGGUGCAUGGUUGUCGUCAGCUCGUGUCGUGAGAUGUUGGGUUAAGUCCCGCAACGAGCGCAACCCUUGAUUUUAGUUGCCAGCACUUCGGGUGGGCACUCUAGAAUGACUGCCGGUGACAAACCGGAGGAAGGCGGGGAUGACGUCGGAUCAUCAUGCCCCUUAUGACCUGGGCUACACGCGUGCUACAAUGGCGUAUACAACGAGUUGCCAACCCGCGAGGGUGAGCUAAUCUCUUAAAGUACGUCUCAGUUCGGAUUGUAGUCUGCAACUCGACUACAUGAAGUCGGAAUCGCUAGUAAUCGCGGAUCAGCACGCCGCGGUGAAUACGUUCCC
This 400-nucleotide ribosomal RNA is filed under the name uncultured bacterium. RNAcentral describes it as "bacterial SSU rRNA". It matches the Rfam family "Bacterial small subunit ribosomal RNA", at positions 975 to 1375 of the family's 1533-position model. The record is from RNAcentral.